RNAcentral lists this long non-coding RNA (273 nucleotides) under Nicotiana benthamiana. Its description in RNAcentral is "long non-coding RNA (NBEN_LNC001527)". The record is from RNAcentral. Lineage: Eukaryota; Viridiplantae; Streptophyta; Magnoliopsida; Solanales; Solanaceae.
GGAUAAUUGUCGAGAACUAAAGGAUGUCCUUCCUGUCAGCAUUUCAAACAAACUGUCCAUUUGUUCAUGAUUGGCUUCAGGAAAACAGUACAGAAACUAGAGGUAUAUGAUUCAAAGUUGAAGUGUGUAUCAAAUAACUUUAAAACUAGAGUAGAUUCUCAAAAUAAAAGCAUAGCUUACUCCUAGAUAAGAAAGAGAUAGAAAGGGCACAAAAUGAAAAGAUCACGUAUACAGCUAUACCUUUUCUUCUCCUCUUCCUCAAUUUUAAUUUUU